Molecule: long non-coding RNA, 25652 nt
Filed under: Gossypium barbadense (sea-island cotton)
Lineage: Eukaryota; Viridiplantae; Streptophyta; Magnoliopsida; Malvales; Malvaceae
Description: long non-coding RNA (GBAR_LNC020725)
Source: RNAcentral
CUACCGAGCUCUUUGGUGCAACUAGGCUGAAGAGCUUGGUAGUUUCAGGUAAUUCCUUAUACGGACCGCUUCCGUCCCAAGUCGGGAACCUUAAGAACCUACAAACCUUUGAUGUUUCACGGAAUUUAUUCAAUGGCUCCGUACCUUCGUCCAUAGUUCAAUGCAAGAAAUUAACUACACUUGUUCUCAGUCAAAAUUAUUUCAACGGCUCACUCCCCGAGGGAUUUGGAAACAGUUUGGUUAGCCUUCAGAAGCUCAAUCUUUCUUACAACAGAUUCGACGGUUCAAUCCCUGGUGACAUUGGAAACUUGUCGAAUUUGCACGGUACUCUCGAUCUGUCUCACAAUUUCUUCACUGGUGAGAUUCCAGCUAGCCUAGGAAGCCUCCCUGAGGAAGUGUAUAUCGAUCUCAGUUACAAUAAUCUUACCGGCCCAAUACCGCAGAAUGGUGCUUUAGGAAAUGCAGGGCCAACAGCUUUCAUAGGCAACCCUUCGCUUUGUGGAUUACCAUUGAAAAUUCCGUGUCAUUCAUCCAAUAAGCCAAUUCCAAUUAAGCCAUUUCAGAGAUCGAUAAAGCGUGGGGAAGGCGGUAGGGUGAUUAAAACCAUUGCAGGUGUGAUGUUAGGACUCUGCUUCAUUGGAUUCAUGUUCUCUUAUUGGUACAAGAAGGCCUAUGUCUGCAACGGAGUUCGGAAAGUCACCGGCUAUCGUUUCGAAGAGAAACUGAUGAUUGGUAGGGACAUAUUCUGCUUUGCGAGAAGAGACAAUGACACUCUCUCAGAAAACAUGGAGCAGUGCAACUUUGUUCCAUUAGACACCGAGGUAGACUUCGAUCUCGAACAACUUCUUAAAGCAUCUGCUUUUCUCCUGGGGAAGAGUUCAAGUGGGAUUCUAUAUAAAGUGGUGCUCGACAACGGACUAGCUGUGGCGGUGCGAAGACUUGGAGACGGAGGUGGACAAAGACUCAAGGAGUUUCAAACCGAAGUUGAAGCGAUUGGGAAAAUCAGGCAUCCGAACAUAGUUAAUCUUCGAGCUUAUUGUUGUUCGGAUGAUGAGAAGCUGCUCAUAUAUGAUUACAUAACCAAAGGAGAUCUUGCUGCUGCAAUUCAUGGUAACUUAUUAAAAUUCUGCAAAUAUUUUCCAUGUUGUUCUAGGAAUCUCCAUGAUAAUCUUUCUAACAUUUAAAUCUAAGCAGGGAAAUCCGGAAUUGUGAACUUUAAACCGCUUUUGUGGCCAGUUCGAGUAAAAAUCAUGAAAGGAAUAGCCAAGGGAUUAGCCUUCUUACACGAAUUCAGUCCGAAAAGGUACGUCCAUGGAAAUCUGAAGCCGAGCAACAUUCUUCUUGGAGAGGAUAUGGAGCCUCGUAUUUGCGAUUUCGGACUCAGUCGCCUCGCCAACAUAACUGAGGAAUCACCUGACUUUCAGGUGGAACAACAGAUGGCAAUUUGGACACCAGAACAAAGUUCUCCAUUCGAGUUAACACCAAUAAAUUCAUCUUCGAACGGAUCGUAUUACCGAGCACCGGAAGCCUUGAAUGACACGAAACCAUCACAGAAAUGGGAUGUGUACUCAUUUGGAGUGAUAUCACUGGAGAUGAUCUCUGGAAAGUUGCCAAGCAUUCAAGCAGGUUCUUCGGAGAUGGAUUUGGUUCAAUGGAUUCAACUCGGGAUGGAUGAAAGGAAGCCGCUGUCGUCCAUCAUUGAUCCCUCCUUAGCUCAUAGUUGGGUUGAGGAAGACAACAUAACCGCCAUACUCAAGCUUGCACUGGCCUGCAUCCAUAAGAGUCCAGAUAGGAGACCUUCAAUGAGGUUUGUGAGUUAUAGUCUCGAGAAAUUGACUUCAUAAUAAGUUGAUACAUCAAUUGGAUCAGAGAGAGAGCUGAACUGUAUUUUUUUCUUUUUUUUGACAUAUUUCGGACAAAUUCCCAUACAUGUAAAAUAUUCAUUUCAUUUCUCUUAGAAGGAUGGAUUCAUCACUUACUAUGAACAUUAGCAGAAUAAAUAUUUAUUUGUUACUAUGAACAUAAGCGGUUUUUUUGUAGUUAUGAAAUGCUGCGUUGCUUCGAGUAAGAUAUCUGAAAACUGAACUCAGCAACCCUACAACAGUUCAGCAUCACAGCAAAGUACAUUCUCUUAGAUUGACGGACAGUGUUCUAGUUCUACUCUACAUCCAAGCAGUACCAAAGCCAUGAAGCGUACAAACAACACACUAUGAUCAUGAACCACAAAUUAAUUAGGGAAUUCCCAAAGAUAUAAAGCUAAUCAUUGUUUCUUUUCAUUUGCAGCAUUAGUCCCUGAACAAUGGCUUAUAAGAUAAAAUGAUUCAUGUUUGAAAAUUCUAUGAAAUGGCCAAAUUGAGUGCUGGAUAAGUAUGCAAAAACUACAAAGCAGAGAAUGGAAACAAUAACUACCUAUGUUUAUCGACCUAUAUUCUGACUGAAAUCUUCUUCAAAUACGUGUGUCCAAUGCAUUGGUACAAAAACUUAAUCCUCCAAAAGAACCUCAAAAUACAUGAAAAAAGAAAUUGAACGAUGCUGUAUUCAAAGUUCAUGCCCAAGUGCAAAAAAAAUAAGUUUCAGCUAUUAUUAGGAAACAAGAAUAGCAGGUUAGAAGAAAAGUUAUACAACAAAAUCUAACUGGCUAAUAUGUAGGUUACUCCUAAACUUGUCUAAAAGUAUCUAGUCGGUAUCUGAAUUUUACCUAGUUGGUACUUGAAUUUGAACCACCUUAGUUUUUUAAGGGUUAAUAUAUAGUUUACCCCUUGAACUUAUCCAAAAAUACUAGUUAGUACUUGAACUUGUCCAAAAGAGUGUACUUUUUUAAAUUAAUUUAAAUGUUUUAGAAGAUUUUUAAUUUUUUAAUUUAUGUCCGCUAUGUGUCAUAUUGAAAAGUUGUCACGUGUCCCCAUUGAAUUGGCCAACUACACUACAUUAGCACAAAUUAAUAGCGUUAGUGCGGAAGUACCAAUCAGGACGAUAGAACACAAGUUUAGGUACCAACUAGGUAAAAAAAAAGUUCAAAUACCAAUUAUGUAUUUUUGACAAGUUUAGGCAGCAAACUACGUAAACUCAAAUUUAAAGUAAGCUACUACCUGUGGAACCGGUUUUGGUUACUUCAGAAGUCUGAAUGAGAACAUACUACUUUGCCUCAAAGGAUUUAAGUUUUAGCCACUAAACUAUGUUGCUCUAUUCACAUCAAACUACAUUGCUCAACUCAGAUGUGAGUGUUGCAUAUUGUUGGUGUACUAACAGAAAUAACAGACUCGACAAGUGUCUUGUGCAACAAGCCCCGAUGCUUGUUGAGCAAACAAAUGAAUUCGAGCAAAAGAAAAGGAAGGAAAAGUUAGAAAAAUGGAGAGUAUUUGAUGAACAAAACUUAAUUCAUUCAUUGAAUUAACAGUGGCAAAAUGCCAAUACAUAAAUCAAGCUCUAAGCUUGUCAAAAACAGUAAACAUUUACCUAAUGGUUACCUAACACCACUAAACAUUGAAACUUGAAGCAAUCAACUUGUGCAUACAAGCAAAGCUGAAUUAGCAGCUCAUAUGAUAGCAAAUUACAUCAAUCAUCUACCUAACAUAGUUCUAAAUGAACUAAAUUACAAUUCAUUGACUAGAAAUUACAAAAUGAGCAAAAUAAGCUUGCAUCAGCAGCUCCUGCAUGGCUUGGUCUUCAUGGCCUGCCUGCUGUCGAGUGUUUGCUUCAUACUGACCAACUUCAUCACUCCUCCUUGGUUAGUAUGGUGCAAACACCUAAUUUUCCUCUCAAAUGCUCGAACCUUGUGACAUUAAGACCUUUAGUUAGAAUGUCAGCAAGCUGAUCCUCUGAAUUGCAGUGAAUCAGCUUCAUCUCUUGUGCUUGCUCCAUUUUUCGAACAACAUGCAACUUAAUGCUGAAAUGCUUUGUUCUUCCAUGGAACACAGGAUUUUUAGCAAUUGCAAUAGCAGAUUGGUUGUCACAAAAGAUCUCUAUUGCUUCUCUUUGAUGCACAUUCAAAUCGGUCAAGAUUUUUCUUAGCCAAAUGGCUUGGUUGACAGCACUUGCUGCUGCCACAUACUCCACUUCAGCAGUAGAUUGAGCCACAGGCUUUGCUUCUUCGAGCUCCAGCAGAACAUGGCUGAACCAAGGUUAAAAGCAUACCCUGAGGUGCUUUUCAUAUCAUCUAUCGAGCCAGCCCAGUCACUAUCAGUAUAGCCAAUCAGCUUCAAAUUUUCUACCUUGCUAUACCUCAAACCAUAGCUUAAAGUGCCUUUGAUAUAUCUGAGCACUCUUUUUGCAGCCUGAAAAUGCUUCUCAUUGCAGCAAUGCAAGAAUCUUGAGAGCAAUCCUACAGCUUACAUUAUGUCUGGCCUAGUAGCAGUUAAGUAUAGCAAACAACCAACUAGACUUUUGUAGGUAGUUUCACAAACUCUCUCAAAUUCACCUUGGCUCGAUAGUUUCUCUCCAACAGCAACAGGAGUUUUAGUUGCCUUGCAGUUCUGCAUAGAGAACUUGGUCAGAAUCUUUGUGGCAAAGCCUUUCUGACUUAGGAAUAUCCCAUUUUGUGUUUGUGACACCUCCAUUCCAAGAAAAUAGGACAUCUCCCCUAGAUCAGACAUUUCAAACACCUCAUGCAUCUUGGUCUUGAAAUUGAUCAGCAUUGUUUGAUCUCCUCCUGUCACCAGCAGGUUAUCAACAUACAGAGACACAAUGAGCUGUGUUUGUGCCCCUUCCAUCUUGACAUACAGUGUUGGUUCACUCUUGCUUCGAUCAAAUCCCAAAUCAGUCAAGUAGCCAUCGAUUCUGGAGUACCAGCCCUUGGAGCCUGUUUUAAGCCAUAUAGAGCCUUCUUUAGUUUAUAGACCAUGUGCUCUUUGCCAGCUAUCUCAAACCCUUGUGGUUGAUCAACAUAAAUAUCUUCAUCUAAGAAGCCAUUCAGAAAAGCUGACUUCACAUCUAGUUGAUGGAUCUUCCAUUUGAGCUGUGCUGCUAAGGCAAUCAGCAGUCUGAUGGUGUCAAGCCUGGCCACUGGUGCAAAGGUCUCCAAGUAGUCCAGGCCAUAUUUCUGACUGAACCCCUUGACAACUAGCCUUGCUUUCAGUUUGUUCAAGGUUCCAUCAGCAUUUUGCUUGGCUUUGUACACCUAUUUCACCCCAAUUACCUUCCUUUUGACGGCCUUUCAACCAAUUCCCAGGUCUGGUUCUUCUCAAUCAUGCUGAUCUCCUUAGCCAUUGUCUGCUUCCACCCUUGCUAAGCUUCAACCUCCUCAAAGUUGCUUGGUUUAGCUAUGGCUACAUGAGCCCUUUCAUAAAUCUCAGUUAAUGGUCUUGUUCCCCUGACUGGUUCAUCAUCAAUGUCCAUUUCAGGACCAUUUUGGUCUGGCUCAGCUUGAUCUGCUACAAGUUCUUCUGAAACUUCCUCAGGUUCAUGUCUCUCCCAGUUCCAACAUGACCUUUCAUCAAAUACCAUAUCCCUGUUGACUGAAACUUUGUUUGUUGAAGGAUCCAAGAUCCUAUAGCCCUUCUUGACAAUGUUGUAGCCUACCAGAAUACCAGGUCGAGCCCUUUUAGACAAUUUGUCCCUUUUAACAGCAAGUACAUGUGCAUAACAGAUGCAUCCAAAGACCUUCAGAUGAGCCAGUGAUGGCUUGAAUCCAAACCAGGCCUCGAAUGGAGUCUUCUGGUCCAAAGCCUUGGUUGGAAGCCUAUUUUGGAUGUAUGUUGCACUGUUAACUCCUUCUACCCAUAAAGCUUUAGGCAGAUUCUUCUGAAUCAUCAAGCACCUAGCCAUAUCCAUCAAGCUCAUGUUCUUUCUUUCACUUACACCAUUUUGCUGGGGUGUAUAAGUGUUAGUAAGCUGAUGUUUAAUGCCUGCCUUAUCACAAAAGGCUUGGAACUGAGCUGAUGUGUACUCAGUCCCAUUAUCAGACCUUAUGGUCUUCAGCUUGCAGCCUGUUUCAGUCUCAGUAGCAGUCUUGAACUUCCAAAACACAGAGGCCACCUCUGAUUUCUGUUUCAAGAAGUAAAGCCAGCAAUAUCUCGAGAAAUCAUCAAUAAACAAUAUGAAAUACCUGUUUCCACUUAAUGACUCAGUCUUUAUGGGACCACACACAUCAGUGUGCACCAAUUGGAGUUUUUCAGAGGCUCUCCAAGCUUGAAUCGAGGGAAAUGAGAGUCUGGCCUGUUUUCCUAGUUGACAUACUUCACAUACAUCAACAUGCUCCACUGAAUUGAUGAAGUUUUCAGCUAAGCUCUCUCUGACCAUUCGAGCCAUUGAUCUAAAGUUGGCAUGACCAAGUCUUUGAUGCGAAAGCUUGGAUUCAUCUGGUGUAGCUGUGUAGGCAAUGUCUGACUCCUUUGUCCAAUCAACCACAAAGCUUUUAUCAGCCAUAGGGACUGCCAUUAGCUUGGAUCCACUUGGAUCACUAAUUUGGCACUGAUUGUCCUUGAACACCACAGAAUAACCUUUCGCCAGCAAUUGAGCUAUGCUGAGCAGGUUUCUGUCAAUUUCAAGCACUAGGAGCACAUUUGAAAUCACUUUGGCACCUGUGGGAGUGAAUAUCAGCACAUCACCCAUUCCUUCAGCUUGAAUAAAGUGGUCAUUACCAAUUUUGACUUUGGUUCUACAGCUUCUGUCUAAAGACUUGAAGAUUGCAGCAUUAGGUGUCAUAUGAUUGGUGCAUCCACUGUCUAGGAGCCAACCAGAUAAGGGCCUUUCUUGAACAACUGAUCAUGACACAGCAAACACCUGCUCCUCUUGGUCAUUGUCCUCCUUAGCCACUCGAGCCACAGUUUUCAUCUGUAGAAACUGAUUCUGCCUUGACUUGGCCUUGUAAAAGCCCGAUUCUGGGCCUAGUCGGAACAAUGGUUUUGGGACCACAAAUCCGACGAAGGAAAAUAUGAUUGUUAUUAUAUUUUUAUGGUCUACAAUUUUACAAAAAAAUUUCGUAAAAAUUUCGUUCGAAAAUUUCGACGUUUGGCCACUCAAUUUAGUCAAAAGGACUAAAUUGUAAAAAAUGUAAAAGUUGAGUUCUACAUGUUAGAAGUGUCUAAUUGUUAUGAAAUUUUAAAUUGGAGGUCUUUAUGUGGUAAUUAGACCAUUAGUUAGUUGAUGGAAAAAAAUGGGCAUAGAAUUAGUGAAAUAGAUUUUUUUAAGUAAGAGCAUUUUAGUCAUUUGGUAAUUAAAUAGAAUUAUGGGAAAAAGAUGGCAAAAUAUGCUCAUCUUCUUCAUGGUGAACGAAAUCAGCAAGGGGGGAAGUCAUAUUUAGGGUUUUUAAGCUUCCAAGCUCCAUAAUAAGUGAUUCCAAGCCCCGUUUUUAAUGUUCUUUACGUUUUUUGAGUCCUGGUAACUUGGUUUAGCUUAUUUUACCAUUAAUUCGUGUUAGGGUUUAUAUUUGGAAAAAUACCAAUAGGUGAAAUGUGUUUAUUUUGCUGUUUAAUGGUGAAAUAUGAAUCUAGAAAUUAUGUUAAACAAUUUUUGCUAAGCGAUUUUAAACGAAAACGGGUAAAUUGACAUAAUCGGUAAAAAUACCUAAUGUUCAAAAGUGUGUGUUAGAGUGAGAAUUUGAUGUUGUCAUAGAAGGGAAAAAUGUUCAGCAUGUCAUAAAACAUAAUAAUAAGAGAUGAAUUUUAAUUUUCGAGCUUAGGGACAAAAGUGUAAAUAUGUAAAAGUUUGGGGGCAAAAUUAUAAUUUUUCAAAAAGUUGGGUGGAGGACUAUUUUAUUAAAUGUGAACAUUAAAUGAGUUAAAUUUGCUAUUAUAGAUCAAGAAAGACGAGAAGACUACCUCAAACGGGGAAAAGAGAAGAUAGUGGAGUAAAUUACAAAAUUACGAUAUUUUGCACCGAGGUAAGUAAACAUUAUUUAAUGUAUUAUUUUGAUAUUAUUCAAUAUAUGUUGGGAUUUAAUAGAAUAUAGAGUAAAUAUUCGGCAAGAUCCUAAAAAUGUGGUUAAGUUGGGAAAGGUGGUAAAAUGUUGAAACUAUGGGUUCCAGUUGAACACUCGGAAUAAGCCGAAGUAUUUUAAAUGUGAAGGUGGUUGCUAAGUGCUGAUUCCCCGACUCAUUGGUGGUUGCUAAGUGCUGAUUCCACCGUAUCUUGAAUAUAAAGAAGGUUGCUAAGUGCUGAUUCCCACAAGGGGUUGUUAAGUGCUGAUUCCCCGAUUCAUUGGUGGUUGCUAAGUGCUGAUUCCACCGUAUUUUAAAUGUGAAGGGGGUUGCUAAGUGCUGAUUCCCCCAAGGGGUUGCUAUGUGCUGAUUUCCCAAAUCAUUGGUGGUUGCUAAGUGCUGAUUCCACCAUAUCUUUGAAUGUGAAAGGGGUUGCUAAGUGCUGAUUCCCCGAAUCACUGGUGGUUGCUAAGUGCUCAAUCCACCGAUAACGGUUAAUAUUCCGAGUGUUCAACGAGUAAAUUGGGAAGGUGAAAAUUUAUAUGUGGUGGACAAGCUUAUAGGAGGAAUAUUGGGUUUGAUACUUAAUCGACCCAUGUAUAAGGUGGGAUGAAAUAUCAAAAAUACAAAAGAAACAAAUUAAAUACAAAAUUGUUUUGAACAACAGUAGUUGGAAAACUUUGAAAAAUCACCAUAAAUGGUGGAAAAUGAAUUAGAGGUUGAAUAAUAUAUUAAAUUGAAGCUGAAUGAGUCUAUUUUCAUACAAAAGAAACAGAGCAAGCAAAAGAAUUUUAUAUUUGGGGAUAUUUGAAUUUAUUUGAGACAGGGUUGGAUUAAUUUGAAAUCCCCUGUUCCAACUUUGGAAAAUCACUAAAAAUUGUACAAAAAUAAUUAUGGCCUAAAAUUUAUAUGCCUAGAUUCUUUAAUGAGUAUAUUUUUAAUAGAAAUAAAUGAGAACAUUUUUUGAAUUUUGUACAGGGAGUUAAUUAAAUUUUAGUAAAGGGAGGUCAGAACCGUCGGGCAAUGAAAUAGGGGAAUGUUUAAAGAAUAAAAUGUACUAAUUGGCUAAGCCAAAAAAAUCUGAAAAUUUUAUGGUGGAAAGGUAUAUGAGUCCAGUUUCAGGGAAAAUUUAUGGAAUCCAAUUUGGAGCCCUGUAGCUCCAAAUAAAAAUAAAUUAGUGACCAUGACUCAGAAAAACAGCUUGGUGGAAAUUGAACAAUUGAUGAAAUUUAAGUGUGAUUAAAAUUAUGUUACUAUGUAAUCAUGUGAGGAAAUUAUUUAUUUGUCAUAUGUUUACUUACUGAGCUAUAUGCUUACUCGUUUUUAUUUUCCCUUGAUUAUAGUGACAUCAAUCAGUUCGGAACUUGGACGACGUCAGAUAAUCAUCCACACUAUCAUCGACUUUUUGGGUAUUUUGCAACUAAUACUUUGGAGACAUGGCAUGCAUAGAUGACUUUAUGUAUUGCGGUUUAAAUAUGUAUAUAUGUAGUAUGGUUCGGUUUAAAAUGUUGGUGUUUGUUAAUGGAUAAAUUGUGUUUGAACAUACAACUGUAUUUGGUUGGAAUAUUGAAUAUGUUUGGAAUUGUGUUUGAACAUUUACAGGGGGUUUUAUGUAAAAAUAAGCAGAAAUGCUGCUCAAAUUUUAUAAAAAAAAUUUAGUAAUACCUCAUACUCAGUUCCGUUAAGGAAUAUGGGUAAGGGGUGUUACAUUUUAGUGGUAUCAGAGCUACGGUUUAGUCGGUUCUCGGACCAAUAAAAUAUGUGUGAAAGUCAAUCUAUACAUGCCAUAAAUAUAUUGAGAUAGUGUAAUGAUUUCUGACAAUUUAAAAUUUUGUUUUAUAUAGUAAAUGGAUCCUGAUCGAAGUGUGGCAGAUGAUGUUGAAAGUAACACGCCGGCUCCCGCACAAGGGACAGCGCAUGAAGAAAGUAGACAUGAGACGCAUAGUCAGGUUGAGGCUCAGGAAGCCUUUCUUCGAAUGAUGAGUAAUUGGUAUACAGAAUUUGUCCGUGUAAAUCCGAAUGUUCAACCUCCUUCACCCCCUCCUAUUCCUCAACCAGUCCCCUUAGCUCCACAAAGUGUUGAAUUGGUAAAAUCGAGUAAACCACCCGUUGACAAAAUUUGAAAGCAUAGGGCUGAAGAUUUCAGGGCUAAUGUUGAUGAUGAUCCAGAAAAAGUAGAGUUUUGACUGGAAAAUACUAUUCGGGUAUUUGAUGAACUAUCUUGUACUUCUGAUGAAUGUUUGAAAUGUGUUGUGUCUUUACUGAAGGAUUCAGCAUACCGUUGAUGGAAAACAUUAAUAUCAGUGGUUCCGAAAGAAAGAGUUAUUUGGGACUUCUUCCAGGAGGAAUUCAAAAAGAAAUAUAUAAGCCAACGGUUUAUUGAUCAGAAACGCAAAGAGUUUCUUGAGUUGAAGCAGGGCCGGAUGUCUGUGGCAGAAUAUGAAAGGGAGUUUGUCAGGCUCAGCAAAUAUGCCCAGAAAUGUCUACCCACGGAGGCCAUUAUGUGUAAAAGAUUUGAGGAGGGGUUAAAUGAAGAUAUCAGAUUGUACGUUGGGGUUUUAGAGCUAAAAGAAUUUGUAGUACUGGUUGAUCGAGCCUGUAAAGCUGAAGAACUGAGUAAAGAAAAGAGAAGAGCGGAGAUUGAAGCUCGAGAUGUAAGAAAAAGGUCAAUGAGCAGGACAUUUCAAUCCCAACCAAACAAGCUUAAAGGGAUGGAUCCGCGAUCGACUGGUUCAGUUGGGUAUUCACGUAGAGAUCGAGGGAAAUCAUACCCCGGAGCUAAAACUCAAACUACCUCGAUGGCAAGUGUGGGCAAUGUGGGGAAUAUUAAACCUGAGUGUCAACAGUGUGGUAGGCGACAUGCUGAAGAGUGUUAGGGAUUUAGACGAGCCUGUUUCGGGUGUGGUUCUCAAGAACAUUAUAUAAAAGAUUGCCCUGAGAGAAUAGAAGAAAAAGGAUUGCAGAGAGCUAGAUCGGGUGAUAUUGUUAGUAGAGGUAAACCACCCAGGAAUGUUGAGAGCAAAGUCAGCGGUAAAAGUGUGGCGAAAGAUAUAGUUGGGAGAUAAGUAACUAGAGCGCCUGCCAGAACUUAUGCCAUACGUGCUCGUGAGGAUGCAUCAUCUCCUGACGUAAUUACUGGUACAUUUUCUCUUCAUGAUAUUGAUGUUGUUGCUUUGAUUGACCCUAGGUCUACUCAUUUAUAUGUAUGUGUGAAUUUAGUAUCCAGUAAGAAAUUGCCUGUUGAAAAUACUGAAUUUGUGGUUAAAGUAUCAAAUCCUUUAGGCAAAUAUGUCUUAAUCGAUAAGGUUUGCAAGAAUUGUUCAUUGAUGAUUCACGGUCACUGUUUCCCGGCUAAUUUGAUGUUGUUACCAUUUGAUGAGUUUGAUGUUAUUUUAGGGAUGGAUUGGUUGAUAUUGCAUGACGCCAAGGUAAAUUGUAGACGAAAAAUUCUUGAAUUGAGAAAAUGGUGAAAUUCUCCGGGUUGAAGCGGAAGAGCCGAAUAAAUUGCCUAUGGUGAUUUCGCACAUGUCUGCUCAGAAAUACUUGAGAAAAGGAUGUGAAGCUUAUCUUGCUUAUGUGUUGAAUACUGAUAUAACUGGGUCAAAGCUUGAAUCAGUGCCGGUAGUUUGUAAAUUUCCAGAUGUAUUUCCAGAGGAAUUGCCUGGGUUACCUCCGAUUAGAGAAGUUGAGUUUGCUAUUGACUUGUUACCAGGUACUGCAACCAAUUUCUAUUACUCCGUAUCGGAUGGCUCCGACUGAAUUGAAAGAAUUAAAAGCUCAGUUACAGGAGUUGACAGAUAAAGGAUUUGUGAGACCGAGUUUUUCUUCUUGGGUGCUCUUGUAUUAUUUGUGAAAAAGAAAGAUGGAUCUAUGAGACUUUGCAUUGAUUAUCGUCAACUCAACAAAGUGACUAUAAAGAACAAGUACCCUCUACCAAGAAUGGAUGAUUUGUUCGACCAACUAAAAGGAGCAACAGUGUUUUCAAAAAUUGAUCUGAGGCCGGGUUACUAUCAAUUGAGAGUUAGGGAGUCCGAUGUGCCAAAGACCGCUUUCAGAAUGAGGUAUGGCCAUUAUGAAUUUCUGGUAAUGCCUUUUGGGUUGACUAAUGCUCCGGCUAUUUUUAUGGAUUUAAUGAAUCGAAUUUUUCGGUCGUAUCUAGAUAAGUUUCUGGUGGUGUUCAUAGAUGAUAUUUUAAUUUAUUCUCGGGAUGAAUCCGAGCAUGCCGAACAUUUGAGAAUUGUGUUGCAGAUUCUGAGAGAGAAGAAAUUAUAUGCUAAAUUUAGUAAAAGUGAGUUUUGGCUUCGUGAGGUUGGAUUCUUGGGGCAUAUAGUUUCAAGUGAAGGUAUUCGGGUUGAUCCAAACAAAAUUUUCGCAAUUGUUGAUUGGGAGCCACCAAAGAAUGUGAUCGAGGUUAGAAGCUUUCUAGGCUUAGCCGGAUAUUACAGACAUUUUUCAAGGGAUUCUCGAUGAUUGCCUCUCCUAUGACUAAGUUAUUGCAAAAGAAUGUCAAGUUUGAAUGGACCGAUAAAUGUCAACAAAGUUUCGAGAAAUUGAAGGCUUUAUUGACUGAGGCACCAGUGUUGGUACAACCUGAGUCAGGGAAGGAGUUUAUAAUUUACAGUGAUGCAUCGUUGAAUGGUCUUGGUUGUGUGUUAAUGCAAUAGGGCAAAGUAAUAGCUUAUGCUUCGAGACAGCUGAAACCGCACGAGAAGAAUUAUCCGACGCAUGAUUUAAAAUUGGCGGCCAUUGUUUUUGCUUUAAAAAUUUGGCGUCAUUAUCUGUAUGGUGAGAAAUGCCAAAUCUUCAUUGAUCAUAAGAGUUUGAAGUAUUUAAUGAAUCAAAAAGACUUGAAUUUGCGACAACGAAGAUGGCUCGAGCUAAUAAAAGAUUAUGAGCUAGUGAUUGAUUAUCAUCCUGGAAAAGCUAAUGUUGUUGCUGAUGCCUUAAGCAGAAAUCUUUAUUUGCUUUUAGAGCUAUGAGUACGAGAUUAACUUUAUCUGAUGAUGGUUCAAUUUUGGUUGAAUUGAGGGCUAGACCGUUAUUCCUUCAGCAAAUCCGGGAAGCUCAAAAGAACGACAGUGAGUUGCAAGCCAGGAGAGCUCAGUGCGAAGCAGGUGUUGACUCAGAUUUUCGAAUUAGCUCAUAUGAUUGUCUGAUGUUCCGGGAUAGGGUAUGUGUACCGAGAAGUGAUGAGUUAAUUUAGACCAUUUUAUAUGAGCCACAUAGUGGUGAUUUUUCAAUUCAUCCAGGUAGUGUGAAAAUGUAUAAUGAUUUGAAGAAAAUGUAUUGGUGGCCGGGAAUGAAAAAGGAUAUCUCGGAAUUUGUACCAAAGUGUUUAAUUUGUCAACAAGUGAAAGCUGAGCAUCAAGUACCAUCGGGUUUACUUCAGCCGGUAAUGAUUCCAGAGUGGAAGUGGGACAGUAUCACGAUGGAUUUUGUGACAGGAUUGCCUUUAACUCCAAAAAAGAAGGAUGUUAUUUGGGUAAUUGUUGAUAGACUGACAAAGUUAGCCCAUUUCAUUCCGGUACGCAUCGAUUACUCACUUGACAGGUUGGCGGAGUUAUAUAUUGCUGAAAUAAGGAGACUACACGGGGUGCCUAAGUCUAUUAUAUCGGAUAGAGAUCUGAGGUUCACAUCGAGGUUUUGGAUAAAGUUGCAGGAAGCUUUGGGUACAAAAUUGAACUUUAGUACUAUGUUCCAUCCACAAACUGACGGGCAAUCAGAAAGAGUGAUUCAAGUUCUUGAAGACAUGCUCCGGUGUUGUAUUUUAGAAUUUGAAGGCAGUUGGGAGCAAUAUCUACCAUUGGUUGAAUUUGCUUACAAAAAUAGCUAUUAGUCAAGUAUACGAAUGGCACAGUAUGAAGCAUUAUAUGGGCGUAAGUGUAGAACUCCUUUAUAUUAGACUGAGCUUGGUGAGAACCGAACUCAUGGAGUUGAUUUAGUGAAGGAAACUGAAGAAAAAGUAAAGAUAAUCCGUGGCUGCUUAAAGGCUGCUUCAGAUCGACAAAAGUCAUAUGCAGAUUUAAAGAGAAAAGAAUUGAGUUCAGGUGGGUGAUAGAGUAUUUCUGAAGGUAUCUCUAUGGAAGAAGAUUUUGAGGUUUGGCCAUAAAGGCAAUUAAGUCCACGUUUAUUGGACCGUAUGAAGUUAUUGAAAGAAUUGGACCUGUAGCUUAUUAGUUAGCUUUACCAGCAGAGUUGGAAAGGAUACAUAAUGUAUUUCAUGUAUCAAUGUUGCGACGCUAUCGUUCGGAUCCUUCACAUAUAGUUUCUCCUGCAAAGAUUGAAGUUCGACCGGAUAUGACUUAUGAGGAGGAACCGAUAAAAAUUCUGGCUCGAGAGGUCAAGCAAUUAAGGAAUAAGCGUGUGGCCUUAGUAAAAGUGUUGUGGCAAAAACAUGGAGCGGAAGAAGUUACGUGGCAACCGAAGGAAGUUAUAAGGAAACAGUACCCAACCUCUUUUCCGGUAAGAUUUCGGGGACGAAAAUCCCUAAAGGGGGGAGAAUUGUAACAGCUCGAUUUUGGGCCUAGUCGAAACAGUGGUUUCUGGACCACAAAUCUGACGAAGGAAAAUAUGAUUAUUAUUAUAUUUUUAUGGUCCACAAUUUUACAGAAAAAUUUCGUAAAAAUUUCGUUCGAAAAUUUCGAUGUUUGGGCACUCAAUUUAGUCAAAAUGACUAAAUUGUAAAAAAUGCAAAAGUUGAGUUCUACAUGUUAGAAGUGUCUAAUUGUUAUGAAAUUUUAAAUUGGAGGUCUUUAUUGGUAAUAGACCAUUAGUUAGUUGAUGGAAAAAAAUGGGCAUAAAAUUAGUGAAAUAGAUUUUUUUAAGUAAUGGCAUUUUAGUCAUUUGGUAAUUAAAUAGAAUUAAAUGGGAAAAAGAUGGCAAAAUAUGCUCAUCUUCUUCAUGGUGAACGAAAUCAGCAAGGGGGAAGCAUAUUAUAGGGUUUUUAAGCUUCCAAGCUCCAUAGUAAGUGAUUCCAAGCCCCGUUUUUAAUGAUCUUUUACGUUUUUGAGUCCUGCGUAACUUGGUUUAGCUUAUUUUACCAUUAAUUCGUGUUAGGGUUUAUAUUUGUAAAAAUACUCAUAGGUGAAAUAUGUUUAUUUUUCUGUGUAAUGGUAGAAUAUGAAGCUAGAAAUUAUGUUAAACAAUUUUUGCUAAGCGAUUUUAAACGAACAUAGGUAAUUGGACAUAAUCGGUAAAAAUACCUAAUGUUAAAAGUGUGUGUUAGAAUGAGAAUUUGAUGUUGUCAUAGAAGGGAAAAAUGUUCAGCAUGUCAUAAAACAUAAGAAUAAGAGAUGAAUUUAAUUUUCGAGCUUAGGGACAAAAGUGUAAAUAUGUAAAAGUUUGAGGGGCAAAAGUAUAAUUUUUCAAAAGUUGGGUGGAGGAACUAUUUUAUUAAAUGUGAACAGUAAAUGAGUUAAAUUUGCUAUUAUAGAUCAAGAAAGACGAGAAGACUACCUCAAACGGGGAAAAGAGAAUAUAGUGGAGUAAAUAUACAAAAUUACGAUAUUUUGCACCGAGGUAAGUAAACAUGUGGAUUAAAUGUAUUAUUUUUGGUAUCAUUCAAUAUAUGUUGGGAUUUAAUAGAACAUAGAGUAAUAUUCGGUAAGAUCCAACAAUGUGGUUAAGUUGGGAAAGGUGGUACACUGUAGGAACUAUGGUUCCGGUUGAAACCCUCGCAUAAAGCCGCAGUUAUUUUAACACUUUAGCAGGGGGUUGCUACGUGCUGCUUCCCACAAGGGGUUGCUAAGUGCUGAUUCCCCCAUUCAUUGGUUGUUGCUAAGUGCUGAGUCCACCGUCUUUUUCACUGUGGAAGGGGUUGCUUAAGUGCUGAUUCCCCCAAUGGGUUGCUAUGUGCUGAUUCCCCAAAUCAUUAGUGGUUGCUAAGUGCUGAUUCCACCAUAUCUUUGAAUGUGAAAGAGGUUGCUAAGUGUUGAUUCCCCGAAUCACUGGUGGUUGCUAAGUGCUGAAUCCACCGAUAACGGUUAAUAUUUCGAGUGUUCAACGAGUAAAUUGGGAAGGUGAAUAUUUAUAUGUGGUGGACAAGCUUAUAGGAGGAAUAUUGGGUUUGAUACUUAAUCGACCCAUGUAUAAGGUGGGAUGAAAUAUCAAAAAUACAAAAGAAACAAAUUCAAUACAAAACUGUUUUGAACAACAGCAGUUGGGAAACAUUGAAAAAUCACCAUAAAUGGUGGAAAAUGAAUUAGAGGUUGAAUAAUAUAUGAAAUUGAAGCUGAAUGAGUCUGUUUUCAUACGAAAGAAACAGAGCAAGCAAAAGAAUUGUAUAUUUUGGGAUAUUUGAAUUUAUUUGAGAUAGGGUUGGAUUGAUUCGAAAUCCCCUGUUCCAACUUUGGAAAAUCACUAAAAAUUGUACAAAAAUAAUUAUGGCCUAAAAUUUAUAUGCCUAGAUUCUUUAGUGAGUAUAUUUUUAAUAUAAACAAAUGAAAACAUUUUUUGAAUUUUGUACAGGGAGUUAAUUAAAUUUUAGCAAAGGGAGGUCAGAACCGUCGGGCAGUGAAACAGGGGAACUUUAAAGAAUAAACUGUACUAAUUGGCUAAGCCAAAAAAAUUCUGAAAAUUUUAUGGUGAAAGGUAUAUGAGUUUAGUUUCGGGGAAAAUUUACGGAAUCCAAUUUGGAGCCCUGUAGCUCUAGAUGAAAAUAAAUUAGUGACCAUGACUCAGAAAAAUAGCUUGCUGGAAAUUGAAAAAUUGAUGAAAUUUAAGUGUGAUUAAAAUUAUGUUACUAUGUAAUCAUGUGAGGAAAUUAUUUAUUUGUCAUAAGUUUACUUACUAAGCUAUAUGCUUACUCGUUUUUAUUUUCCCUUGAUUAUAGUGACAUCAAUCAGUUUGGAACUUGGACGACGUCAGAUAAUCAUCCACACUAUCAUCAACUUUUUGGGUAUUUUGCAACUAAUACUUUGGAAACAUGGCAUGUAUAGAUGACUUUAUGUAUUGCGGUUUAAAUGUAUAUAUAUAUAGGGUUCGGUUUAAAAUGUUGGUGUUUGUUAAUGGAUAAUUGUGUUUGAACAUACAACUGUAUUUGGUUGGAAUAUUGAAUAUGUUGGAAUUGUGUUUGAAAAUUUGCAGGGGGUUUUAUGUAAAAAUAAGCAGAAAUGCUGCCGAAAUUUUAUAAAAAAAAAAUUAUUAAUAAUACUCAUACUCAGUUCCGUUAAGGAAUACAGGUAAGGGGUAUUACAGGCCUUGCUCUUGCAGACUCUCAACAUGACCCUUCUUUUUACAAUGCUGACAUACAUCGAGAUUGAACCAACAUUUUUCUUCUGGAUGACCAGGCCUCUUGCAAUGCCUUCAAGGUUGGUCAUUGCUCCUUGCAGCAUCAGGCUUAGGCCUAAUUUUCCAGGUCUUCUUGCCUUUAUAGGCAGUAUUUUUUUUUUGCCUGAAAGGCACCUUCCUGGUGCUCCUCCAAUCUGCUAGCUCUUCUCUGCUCUUGUGCAUAAAGGGCAUUGAUAAGCUCUGUCAAGGGAAUGCUGGUCAAGUCCCUUGAGUCUUCGAGAGAUGAAAUUUUUGCCUCAUACCUCUCUGGUAAUGUUGAAAUCACCUUCUCCACUAUCCUAGCUUCACUGAACUGCUCACCAAGGAGCCUUAUGCUGUUUUACACAGCCAUAAUCCUGUCAGAAUAUUGCUUGACAGUUUUCUUCUUUCUUCAUCUUCAAGUUCUCGAAUUCUCUCCUCAAAUUUAACAACUGUUGUUGCCUUGUCCUCUUUGUCCCUUGAAACUCCUCUUUCAAUUUAUCCCAGGCCUGCUUUGGUGUUUCACAGGCCAUAAUCCUUGUGAAAAUCACAUCUGACACUGAGUUCUAUAUGCAGGACAUGGCCUUGUGCCUCUUGGUCCUCUCAUCAGCAUGCUGCCUGAUUUGAGCCACUGUUGGAUUGGCUCUAAGUGGCUCUGGUUCAACAUCAGAGUUGACCACCUCCCACAGAUCGAAAGCCUGCAGGUAGAUCUUCAUUUUGACCACCCAUAUGUGAUAGCCUUCCCCAUUGAAGACUUGUGGUGCAGUUGGUGAAAAGUUUGAUGAAGCCAUUCUUUGAAUACCAGGCCCCUUAAGAAAUAGGCUCUAGAUACCAAUUGUUGGUGUACUAACAGAAAUAACAGACUCGGCAAGUGUCUUGUGCAACAGCCUCGAUGCUUGCUGAGCAAACAAAUGAAUUCGAGCAAAAGAAAAGGAAGGAAAAGUUAGAAAAAUGGAGAGUAUUUGAUGAGCAAAACUUAAUUCAUUCAUUGAAUUAACAGUGGCAAAAUGCCAAUACAUAAAUCAAGCUCUAAGCUUGUCAAAAACAGUAAACAUUUACCUAAUGGUUACCUAACACCACUAAACAUUGAAACUUGAAGCAAUCAACUUGUGCAUACAAGCAAAGCUGAAUUAAACAGCUCAUAUGAUAGCAAAUUACAUCAAUCAUCUACCUAACAUAGUUCUAAUAAAUGAACUAAAUUACAUUUCAUUGACUAGAAAUUACAAAAUGAGCAAAAUAAGCUUGCAUCAGCAGCUCCUGCAUGACUUGGUUUCAUGGCCUGCUCGUUGUCGAGUGUUUACUUCAUACUGACCAAACUUCAUCACAUAUGAUCGUGUCAGGCUCACGUAUGGUAAGAUUUUAUAAGUUCUUUUAUGUAUUUAAAAAAAUAUUAAAAAUUAUAUUCUCUUAUUCAUAUAUCUAACAUGAGUAUCCAAUACGAAUAGUUCGAAAAAAGUUAAAAGAAAGAAAUUAAGAGUACAUAAGUUGAGAAGGACCACCUCAUGGAGAGGUCAAGAGGUUGUAAGAGGUGNNNNNNNNNNNNNNNNNNNNNNNNNNNNNNNNNNNNNNNNNNNNNNNNNNNNNNNNNNNNNNNNNNNNNNNNNNNNNNNNNNNNNNNNNNNNNNNNNNNNNNNNNNNNNNNNNNNNNNNNNNNNNNNNNNNNNNNNNNNNNNNNNNNNNNNNNNNNNNNNNNNNNNNNNNNNNNNNNNNNNNNNNNNNNNNNNNNNNNNNNNNNNNNNNNNNNNNNNNNNNNNNNNNNNNNNNNNNNNNNNNNNNNNNNNNNNNNNNNNNNNNNNNNNNNNNNNNNNNNNNNNNNNNNNNNNNNNNNNNNNNNNNNNNNNNNNNNNNNNNNNNNNNNNNNNNNNNNNNNNNNNNNNNNNNNNNNNNNNNNNNNNNNNNNNNNNNNNNNNNNNNNNNNNNNNNNNNNNNNNNNNNNNNNNNNNNNNNNNNNNNNNNNNNNNNNNNNNNNNNNNNNNNNNNNNNNNNNNNNNNNNNNNNNNNNNNNNNNNNNNNNNNNNNNNNNNNNNNNNNCCCAUUCCCUUAACCUUCUAACCAACCCCCACGACCACCUUAUUUAUAUUACCUAUAACAUUCUUGCCCUCUCGAAACUAUAUUGUUUCACAGAUUCUUCAAACGAGCUCUACACUUUAAUGACUAAAAUGAUCAUCAUACAAAACUUACCUUCAACUUUACCCAAGCCAGUUUGGUUCCAUGCUCCCUUUUCUCUUCGGUUCAUCCAUGCUCGGCUUCUAAUUAAACUUUCUUGGGAAUAUCCAGAAGCUUUAGAUCAAUUUUAUCGUUUGCUUAAUUUUAGUUCGUUAGAAGAUAAAAGAAAAGAAAAAAUCUAUAUGAUUCUGUAAAAGUUUGGAAACGGAAAAAUUUUGUUUUGAAUAUAAAGAAUUCAAUUUAUGUUUAGAUUUGAUUAAGAAUAUAGUUUUUAUAUUGAUUAGUUUGGAUCCCAUUUUAGUUUAAAAAAUAGGUUAUAUUCUAAUCGAGAUUUGAUUAAGAAUUAUCGAAUUUUGUUUUGAGUGAAAUUCAAUUUAGGAAUCAUGUGAAAGAAAUAAGGACUUGGUUAAUUGGUGGUUUAUUUGGUAGGCAAAGAUUAAGUUUCUCCAGUGAAGAAUAUGAGAAGAGAUAGAAAGAAUAAAAAGAAAAAAAAUUAAAUUGUUCAAAAUAUAUAUAGAGAGACUAAUUUUAACACAUGGAAAACAUAGAAAAAUUAUGUUAAAGAAAUGGAGAAUGGAUGAAAGUAGGAGGAGGAAAAGAGAAUGAAAAAAAAGAGAGAGUUCAAAGACAUAGAAAAAAAAUUAAUUGCUCAAAACAAAAAUAUAGGGACCAAUUGUAUAAUUUAAUUUAAAAUUUUCGUUUGAAUGAUGAUUUAACGUGUCAUGUUAGCUUACCGUUAUACUAUUAACAAAUUAACAUAUGUGACUAAACGUAACAUUUCAAACGUAACUAUAAUAUAACUUGAGACACAAAAUGGGUAUUUUGAUACUUUACCCCUUAAUAUUUGAAUUCAAAUGAUUUUUAUUUAUAUAUAUAUAUAGUUUGCAAGAAAGAGGUUCCGUGCGUUGACCUGGCCCGUUCCCAGUUCGUUCAUUUUUUUUUUUAUCAUGACUUAUUUACCAUUUUGGGGCUUCAGCAAUUCAAAUUAUGCGAUUUAGUUUUUUUACAUUUUUACUCAGAGCUGAAAAUUUUGAUGAUCCCUGUCAUUUUAAAUUUGUUUGGGAUUUUGAAAUUUCGAGCAAAAUAAUUGCUCUUCCAGCCCUCUGUUUCUACAAUAUUUUUAAUUAAACCUUGAUUUUACUCAUUUUCUUCUUAUAUUACUCUAUAUUGAAAUAUUUAUUUCAUUGGUCAUUCUUUUUUUUCCUUUCUUAUGGGACAUUUUAAAUUGGACUAUAAUUAUGUAAUACCCGUAAGUUUAUAUUAUUUUAUAUUAUGUUAGAGCUUUCUUUGUAAAUUGUAAUGGGUGUUUAAUCAUGAGCUUAAAUGGUAAAAGAACUUCAAGAAUGGGAGGAUUUUGGCAUACUUUAUAAGCCUUGUUCAACCCAGAACCAAUAGAAAAAAAAUCUCAUGCUUUUGCUUUCUUUCUUUUGGCUACGAAUGGCGAACCACAUCCAAAUUACAAAUAGAAAAUGUGAGUAAAUAUUUUCUGACUAAAAAAUGUGUAUCUUUUUGUUGUUCUAUAUUUGGAUUUAAAUUAAAAAAAUUAAAUAAUCUAGAAAUUUCUCAUGUUUUAUUAUGACCACUUUGGGUAACCUAUUUAAUUUUAUUUUUUUUCUACAAAUUAUAAGAGAUUAAAGGUGAUUAUAAAGAAUAUAUAUGUAAAAGAGAAGGGAAAUUUUGUCUCGGGUUUAUAUUGUUUAAUAAUAACAUCAAUAGUGAUUACAAAUUUUUGCAUCAAGGGUGAUUCUGGAUUUCAUGUUUUAUAUAACUCCACCUAUAAUCUUUUAAAAUCACUUUCAUAAUUCAUCUUUAAAUGCCUUUGUUUAAAUUAUGUUAUAUUUAAGUAAUUGGAUAAGUUUUGUAAUUUUCUUCUUGAACAGCUAAACUACAAAGGGAACUCGUUUGUUUUAUUCUAUUGGUAAUUUUUAAGAUAAAUUUAAAAUUAUAUAUUAACUUUGAUUUAUCCUUAUAAUUAUUUAUGUAUGCAAUAUAUAAAUAUAAAAUGAUGUUAUAUUAAUAAUUGUGUUAAUAUUUUACAAGAAUUGGAUGAAUUCAAAAUUUUAUAUAUAAAAUCAAACUUCAUGUAUACAAUUGCACAUUAAACUAAAAUUCAUGUAUUAUUUGGUGAUUUAUCCCUAUAAUUUUUAUACAAGUAAUGUAGAUAAAUGAGUUUAAUGUGUUGUAUUUGAUUGACAAAUGGAAAUUAUCAUCAGCCCCACUAACGGGUUAUAAUAGUUAAUUUAAGCUCGUUAACAAGUUAAAAUGGUUAGUACAAGCCUCGUUAACAGGUGAUAAUAGUUAGCACAGACCCUACUGACGAUUUUUAAUAGUUAAUCUAUAGUUUUAUUAUUGGGUUGAACUCUUAUUUAUUCCCUUAAUAUAUAUGUUGGGGGGCGGGGGGGGGGGAUGAAUAAUUGAGUCUCCCUUUAAUCUUUGGAGCAUCUUUGAUGAUGUCGUAUCGGUAAAAUAAUUGGUAUUGCAAUUUGUUGUUUUAUUAUUUUUCUUUCUUUCUUAACUAUCCUCAUUUAUAUAGGUUAAUAGUACAACGAUGCUUUUACCAAGUUAGGGUUAUACUUAAAAAAUUUAAUUAUCGUAUAUAUCCUUUAAUAAAUUCAAAUUUAGGUUAAUUUUUAGGUUAAAUUAAAUAAUUCAUUAUUAAAUUUUUAUAAAUUUUUAUUUUGAGCAUUGAAAAUAAAUUUUUUUCAUUUCAAACUCUGUGAUAAAAAAAAUAUUUUCAUUUUAGGCAUUUAUGCUAAAACUAUUUUAUUUUGAUUAUCUAUCGUUAAUUCAAUAUUAUUGUACACUUAUUUUAAAAGGAAUGAAUCCAAUUACAAAUAUUUUUCUUUACAAUGUCGUAUUUGACUUUUUAAGAUAGGAAUCACUUGGGAUAUAUAUGUAUAUAGGUACCUAAAUUCACAUCUACACGCACAAAAAAAAAAUGAUGAUAUCUUGAAUUGAUUACUGAUAAUCAAGACCAGGGGGAGCCAAAAUAAAAUGUAAAAUCCCAUAGGUAAAUUAGUAGUAAAUGCUAUUUUAAACAGUUUUUAAGGAAAAAACACGAGAUGUGCUUGAAAUAAUUUCAUACCAACAUAUUCUUUUAAGUAAGGUGGAACUUUUUGGGCGAAGUGGUAAAAUGCCUAGAUUUUUCCCUAAUGGACCUAGGUUCAAAUCUCAUCCUGGUUUUAUUUUUAAAGCAUGUUUCAAGCUGCUUCUUCUUCUUCUUCUUUUUAAUUUUAAUUAAUAGUUUUAAUUAAUAAACAUGUUAUUUUAAAUUUUUAGUUAACAAACAUAUUUUUAAGAUUAUUUUAUUUUAUUUUUUUAAUUCAUGUUUUCAAUUAAUAAAUUCUUUAUUUGUAGAGACAAAAUAAUAAUUUGUACUUUUAUUUAAAGCAUGUUGUUUCGAACUCUCUUUUUUUAAUUUUAAUUAAUAUACAUAUUAUUUUUAAGUUUUUAAUUCAUAUUUUUAAUUAAUAAUUUCUUUAUUUAUAUAGACAAAAUAAAUAGUAAUUCUAUAAUAAAAAUAUAUAACUAUAUAUUAUUAUGGUAGAUAUAUUUUAUUUUUAAAAAAUCAACUAAUUUUUUUAUAUAUUUUUCUUUAUAUAUAUUUUUAUGUGAAAUAUUUAUUUUUCAUCCAUCUUAGGUUAUGCUAAUUUUUAGUAUUAUAUACUUUUGUAAGUGUAUUUGAUAAUUUAUUGAAUAAUUCACAUAUAAAAAUAUGAUAUUUAAAAUAAUUAUUUAAUUUUUCAAUUUUUACUAAUCUACGUCAAUUACUAUUUGACAUAUCACUAUCCCAAGUUGCUUUUUCCCACAUCCUCUUUUCCUCGGUCCCCAUUUCUUUUCGUUACAUCUUUCUUAUUUUCUCUCUCCUCGCCUAUCCUUGCCAUAUGCCUUCCCCUCCAACCUCACCCCCCUGUGUUUCUUGCUUCCCCUCCUCUUUCUUCCUUCCCCUCUUGCUUUCCCCCGCCCCGCUUGCCCCUGCUUUUUUUCUUCUACUCGGGCUGCGUCGUUGAGUCUUCCUUCCGUCGCAUCAUUGUUACUAAUGCCGGAGGCUUUGUGUUUGAGUGCGCUGAACACAUUAUUCUCUUAUUUAUAUUGAGCGAUUAUGGUUAGUUCAAGUAUUGUCAAUAAAAUAUGAUCAAAAUCUAUAAUAAAGUUAUUAAAAAUUAAUCGUUUUGACUUGGGAGGACUGAGGAAAGACUUAGCAUGUUAAGAUUAGACUAAAUAAACUAAAUUAUUAAAAAAAAUGUGUUUGAUAUACACUACUUUCUAAAAAUGUAUUUGACCUCAGUCUAUUUCUAGAUAAUAUUUAAAACGAUGAUUUUUUAUAUAUAUUUUUUUAAAUUGACAUUUAUUAGUAAUUUUGCCAAUCCCAUCUGUAAUUAUGAACAGUGAUGAAAUCUUGAAAUUCAGUUAGUCUUUUCAAACAGACAAUCCAAAGUGUCCGAAAAUCUAGCCUAAACAAUUGUGUUUAAUCUGAUCUAGCAGAUUGUUUAUAUAUAUAUAUAUAUAUAUAUAUAUAUAUAUAUAUAUUCAUGUUUUCUUUUAAAAUUAUCUAGUCAGGGUCAUAUUUUACUCAGUUACUCAAACUUGAUGGUGGAAUUAACGAUUUGGUUAGAUUUAGUUUUUUUUAUUAUUUAAUUUUGGUUAAUUUGUAGUAUUUUCAUUUCAGAAAAAGGCAUUUUUCUUUAAAUUUUCAAAAAAACAAGUUUAUUUUUACAUUAUAAAUUUAAUAAAUUCAAAUAAUUAUAAAUUUUCAUUUUAUAAAUCGAAAAUUAAAUAAAAAAUUAUAUUAUUCAACAUUAAUAAAAAUUAAAUUGUAAACAAAUUAAACAUAUGAUCCAAAAUUUAUCGAUUAAAUUGAAUGAAGCCCUAGGUCAAAAAAUUUUGAGAUUCUCAUUUUUUCAUUGGAAUAACCAAUUUUAUUAUUUAAAAAUAUUUUUACAUCAAUAUAUCAAUUUUUAUAAUGAAAUUUAAAUAAAAAAUAUUAUUUAAGAGAAGUGGAUUUGGCUCUAAAAAUGUCAAAGUGCAGCUAAAGAUGGGAGAAAUCAAAAGUUGAAAAAGUGAUGAAGGCGGUCCCUACCGGAGACAACUGUAACAUCAAUGUUCCAAAAGCACAUUCAGCGCCAUCUUCAUGCAAUUAUCAUCGCCUGCAAUCACGCUUUGCCCUCAAUAAUCUCUUCCCUUUUCAUCAAAUCAUUAAUAUAUGUCAAACUAAGAUUGACCAAGUCAUUUAUUAAAAGCUAUACUACAUCGUUUUCGAGUUUGCCCAUGGUAAAAGAUCAAAUCAUAACCCUACAUAUCUUAUAAAAGAUACACGAAUCAUAUGAUUGCAACUACAUGUUUUUUGAACCGUAAUUGAAUAAAUAUAAAAGCGUGUGUGACAGAAAAACGAAGUAUAUGAUUUAGGUUUUCCCCAGUCAACACUUGAACAAAUUACAACUCUUGAUGUAUUUAAUAUGAUGAAACUAACACUUCUUCUGUAAAUCUUUCAAAAACCUUUAACUUUAUACCUGAUGAAUCCAUUGUUGUUUUUGUUGAUUCUCCUUGUAUGCAAUCGCAACCCUCGCUUAUCUGCUCUAAAUGAUGAAGCUCUUGCUCUUUUAUCCUUCAAACAAUCCCUCGAAAAUGACACCGGUAGCUAUCUCAUCAACUGAACUCAUCUGAUCCGAAUCCAUGUUCAUGGCAUGGAGUUUCAUGUAGAAAUCAGAAAGUUCAUGCUCUUAUCGUUCCCAACAUCGGACUAUCUGGUUACCUGUCUCCUGCACUCGCAAACCUCUCCUCGAUUCGUCAUGUUAACCUCGAGAACAACUCAUUUCGCGGAACGUUACCUACCGAGCUCUUUGGUGCAACUAGGCUGAAGAGCUUGGUAGUUUCAGGUAAUUCCUUAUACGGACCGCUUCCGUCCCAAGUCGGGAACCUUAAGAACCUACAAACCUUUGAUGUUUCACGGAAUUUAUUCAAUGGCUCGUACCUUCGUCCAUAGUUCAAUGCAAGAAAUUAACUACACUUGUUCUCAGUCAAAAUAUUUCAACGGCUCACUCCCCGAGGGAUUUGGAAACAGUUUGGUUAGCCUUCAGAAGCUCAAUCUUUCUUACAACAGAUUCGACGGUUCAAUCCCUGGUGACAUUGGAAACUUGUCGAAUUUGCACGGUACUCUCGAUCUGUCUCACAAUUUCUUCACUGGUGAGAUUCCAGCUAGCCUAGGAAGCCUCCCUGAGGAAGUGUAUAUCGAUCUCAGUUACAAUAAUCUUACCGGCCCAAUACCGCAGAAUGGUGCUUUAGGAAAUGCAGGGCCAACAGCUUUCAUAGGCAACCCUUCGCUUUGUGGAUUACCAUUGAAAAUUCCGUGUCAUUCAUCCAAUAAGCCAAUUCCAAUUAAGCCAU